UAAGGAAUAUUGGUCAAUGGACGCAAGUCUGAACCAGCCAUGCCGCGUGAAGGAUGAAGGUCCUCUGGAUUGUAAACUUCUUUUAUCUGGGACGAAAACGGGAUUUUUAUCUCAAUUGACGGUACCAGAGGAAUAAGCACCGGCUAACUCCGUGCCAGCAGCCGCGGUAAUACGGAGGGUGCGAGCGUUAUCCGGAUUUACUGGGUUUAAAGGGUGCGUAGGUGGGCUUAUAAGUCAGUGGUGAAAUCUCCGAGCUUAAUUUGGAAACUGCCGUUGAUACUAUAGGUCUUGAAUUAUCUGGAGGUAAGCGGAAUAUGUCAUGUAGCGGUGAAAUGCUUAGAUAUGACAUAGAACACCAAUUGCGAAGGCAGCUUACUACAUAUAAAUUGACGCUGAGGCACGAAAGCGUGGGGAUCAAACA
This 421-nucleotide ribosomal RNA is filed under the name uncultured bacterium. Its description in RNAcentral is "bacterial SSU rRNA". It matches the Rfam family "Bacterial small subunit ribosomal RNA", at positions 355 to 774 of the family's 1533-position model. The record is from RNAcentral.